GCCACAGGCUCUUUUCCUCCCUAGGCGUUGCUCAAAUAUGCUCAAGGCUGAGAACCUUGCCUGGAAAGGCAGAGCGCUGCCGCAGCAGGCCCGUGCUGCCGUCAUAGCGGGGCUGGAGGAAGCAGUUGCUGGCUUUCUAUACAUGUCAGAUAACAGACAUGCUACCGCUUAAAUUGUCUCCCAUAGACUCACGUUAACCUGGCUGCCAAGGUGUCUUCACUCCACAACAGGCCCCUGAUUUUCCCUGCUUUCUUAGUUUCCCUCCACUUCUGUCAAAGCUUCCAAGGAUCGAUCUCCUGAGCUGGGGCCUCCUGAAGUGGUCUUGGCUACGUAAGUCCUGUUCUCACCGUCUGACAGUUCUUUCCAAGGUAUUUGAUAGGUGUUUCGUGAGGCUCUUGGUAAGCCCUCCAUUAGGUCUCGUUCAUCCUUCUUCAUCAGUCAGGAUCCCAUCCGGAGACAGAUCUCAUCAGUCAUCUGAGCAGAGAGAAUUUAAUAUAUCGUGCUGUACAAAGUUGUGAGCUGUGUAGCUGAAAAGGCACACAGAGGACUCCAAAGCAUCUCCAAGAGCGAGAGGCCAAAGGGAAGAGGCAAAACCAUGCCCUCCCCCAACCUUGCAUUCCUUCUCCAGAAGCCUCUUCUGGGAGAGCCUGACGGAGCAGCUGCAAGCAGAGUAACGUUGCAUUGUGUAAAUGAACAGCAUCUCGAUUGUUUCCAGUUUCUGGCUACUAUGAACAAAGCCACAAUGAAAAUGGUUGAACAAGUGACUCUGAGGGCCAGAACCAGGGUUAUGACUUGGCCUGCCCCAUAAGCCACCCCAUCUGUGAUCUGCGGGAGCAUGUGAAGGUACCUGACCUGCUGACCCAAAGCUGCAGUAUCUCCACAGCACAGGACACCAGCGAAAUUUCCAGGUGGAGCCCUGCAGCUGGUUCUGGCCCUGGGCAGCUGGAAGGUGGUUCUGAGAGGAGACAAGUCUCUCUGAAAGAUGGAGAGAGGGACCACAGCUAGAGAAGCCUGGGAGCUGCCUUCUUGUAAUAGCUAAAGAUGCCAUCUCACUACAUUUUACUUUUAAAGUUCUGUUACAUUUUUAUUAAUUUUUUCUGGAGGGCUUAUUAAAAUUUGAAGAUUAUGGUA
This is a long non-coding RNA of Mesocricetus auratus (golden hamster), 1131 nucleotides long. RefSeq lists it as uncharacterized. The record is from RefSeq and is a predicted model, not a curated record. Lineage: Eukaryota; Metazoa; Chordata; Mammalia; Rodentia; Cricetidae. The transcript is spliced from 6 exons.